This is a long non-coding RNA of Nicotiana attenuata, 768 nucleotides long. RefSeq lists it as uncharacterized. The transcript is spliced from 2 exons. The record is from RefSeq and is a predicted model, not a curated record. NCBI's taxonomy places the organism in Eukaryota, Viridiplantae, Streptophyta, Magnoliopsida, Solanales, Solanaceae.
UAUGGGCAUUGCUUCUAGUUCCACUUCACAACUCUCUCCAUUCCUCUCUUUAUUGUGUCAUAUCCUCAUUGCUAUUUUCCUUCUAUACUUGUAGAGAGAAUAUAUUACUUCUUAUUAUAAUUCCUCUAGAUGAUGAUAAGAAGUGAUGAAUAUUUGAAGAUAUAUACUUUUACUAGUUUUACAUGAAGUCCUAUCAUGCUUUUCCACAGCUUUCUUGAACUUCUUCCCCUCUGAAUUUUCAUCUCUAGCAAUUGAAUAGCUGAUGAGAUGAAAUUAAGCUAUGAAAGUUCAAGAAAGUUGUGGGAAAACAUGGUGAAUUUAGGACUUUUUUCGUGCAUAGUCAAAGAUGUUUAGGUAGUCAACCAACUGAACUAUUAAAAUUUCGCUCGGGAAUUUUGAAUUCCGAAGGGGAGCCUUGGAAGAGGAGAGCCUUGGAGCAACGGUAAAGUUGUCUUCAUGUGAUUUAUAGGUCACGGGUUCGAGCCGUGGAAACAGUCACUAAUGCUUGCAUUAAGGUAGGUUGUCUACAUCAUACCCCUUAGGGUGCGGCCCUUCUCCGGACCCUAUGUUAACGCGAGAUGCCUUGUGCACUAGGCAGCUGCCCUUCAAAUUCUGAAUUCUAAAUUAGAGAAAGGUGACUGUUUUUCUAUUUAUUUUAUUAUUCUGAUUUGCUUGACUUUUAUGGUAGAUCAAUUUUCUGAAUUCUGAAUACUCAUUCAGAGUGGUGAAAAUUGAGAUAAUUAAAGUGGCAGAGAAGAUUCCCUGGCU